GCUGGGCACAGUGGCUCAUAUCUGUAAUCCCAGCACUUUAGGAGGCCAAGGCAGGUGGAUCGCUUGAGCUCAGGAGUUUAAGAUGAGCCUGGGAAACAUGGUGAAAUGCUGUCUCUACAAAAUAUACAAAACUUAGCUGGGGGUGGUGGUGCGCGCAUGUAGUCCCAGCUACUUGGGGGCUGAGGCAGGAAGAUCACUUGAGCCCAGAAGGUUGAGGCUGCAGUGAGCCAUGUUCGUGCCACUGCACUCCAGCCUGAGCAACAAAGUGAGACCCUGUCUCCU
Molecule: small RNA, 282 nt
Filed under: Nomascus leucogenys (northern white-cheeked gibbon)
Lineage: Eukaryota; Metazoa; Chordata; Mammalia; Primates; Hylobatidae
Description: Metazoan signal recognition particle RNA (ENSNLEG00000030430.1)
Source: RNAcentral